GAGUUUGAUCAUGGCUCAGGAUGAACGCUGGCGGCGUGCCUAAUACAUGCAAGUCGAACGAAACUUCUUUAUCACCGAGUGCUUGCACUCACCGAUAAAGAGUUGAGUGGCGAACGGGUGAGUAACACGUGGGCAACCUGCCCAAAAGAGGGGGAUAACACUUGGAAACAGGUGCUAAUACCGCAUAACCAUAGUUACCGCAUGGUAACUAUGUAAAAGGUGGCUAUGCUACCGCUUUUGGAUGGGCCCGCGGCGCAUUAGCUAGUUGGUGGGGUAAAGGCUUACCAAGGCAAUGAUGCGUAGCCGAACUGAGAGGUUGAUCGGCCACAUUGGGACUGAGACACGGCCCAAACUCCUACGGGAGGCAGCAGUAGGGAAUCUUCCACAAUGGGCGAAAGCCUGAUGGAGCAACGCCGCGUGGGUGAAGAAGGUCUUCGGAUCGUAAAACCCUGUUGUUAGAGAAGAAAGUGCGUGAGAGUAACUGUUCACGUUUCGACGGUAUCUAACCAGAAAGCCACGGCUAACUACGUGCCAGCAGCCGCGGUAAUACGUAGGUGGCAAGCGUUAUCCGGAUUUAUUGGGCGUAAAGGGAACGCAGGCGGUCUUUUAAGUCUGAUGUGAAAGCCUUCGGCUUAACCGGAGUAGUGCAUUGGAAACUGGGAGACUUGAGUGCAGAAGAGGAGAGUGGAACUCCAUGUGUAGCGGUGAAAUGCGUAGAUAUAUGGAAGAACACCAGUGGCGAAAGCGGCUCUCUGGUCUGUAACUGACGCUGAGGUUCGAAAGCGUGGGUAGCAAACAGGAUUAGAUACCCUGGUAGUCCACGCCGUAAACGAUGAAUGCUAAGUGUUGGAGGGUUUCCGCCCUUCAGUGCUGCAGCUAACGCAAUAAGCAUUCCGCCUGGGGAGUACGACCGCAAGGUUGAAACUCAAAGGAAUUGACGG
This 941-nucleotide ribosomal RNA is filed under the name uncultured bacterium. RNAcentral describes it as "bacterial SSU rRNA". It matches the Rfam family "Bacterial small subunit ribosomal RNA", at positions 9 to 916 of the family's 1533-position model. The record is from RNAcentral.